UACAGAGGUGGCAAGCGUUGUUCGGAAUUACUGGGCGUAAAGGGCGCGUAGGCGGCCUUCUAAGUCAGACGUGAAAUCCCCCGGCUUAACCUGGGAACUGCGUCUGAUACUGGAGGGCUUGAGUAUGGGAGAGGGAUGUAGAAUUCCAGGUGUAGCGGUGAAAUGCGUAGAUAUCUGGAGGAAUACCGGUGGCGAAGGCGGCAUCCUGGACCAUUACUGACGCUGAGGCGCGAAAGCGUGGGGAGCAAACAGG
Molecule: ribosomal RNA, 253 nt
Filed under: uncultured bacterium
Lineage: Bacteria
Description: partial 16S ribosomal RNA
Rfam family: Bacterial small subunit ribosomal RNA
Source: RNAcentral